RNAcentral lists this ribosomal RNA (253 nucleotides) under uncultured bacterium. RNAcentral's name for it is "partial 16S ribosomal RNA". It matches the Rfam family "Bacterial small subunit ribosomal RNA", at positions 524 to 776 of the family's 1533-position model. The record is from RNAcentral.
UACAGAGGGCUCAAGCGUUGUUCGGAUUCAUUGGGCGUAAAGGGCGCGUAGGUGGCGCGCUAAGUCAGGUGUGAAAUUUCGGAGCUUAACUCCGAAACUGCAUUUGAUACUGGCGUGCUUGAGGACUGGAGAGGAGACUGGAAUUCACGGUGUAGCAGUGAAAUGCGUAGAUAUCAGGAAGAACACCCGUGGCGAAGGCGGUUCUCUGGGACGGUACUGACGCUGAGACGCGAAAGCGUGGGGAGCGAACAGG